GAAUUUCCGGUGUAGCGGUGAAAUGCGUAGGAGAUCGGGAAGGAAACACCCAGUGGCGAAGGCGGCCUCCUGGACUGAACACUGACGCUGAGGUGCGAAAGCGUGGGGGAGCAAAACAGGAUUAGAUACCCUGGUAGUCCACGCUGUAAAACGAUGUCUACUAGCCGUCGGGGUCCUUAGUGACUUUGGUGGCGCAGCUAACGCGAUAAGUAGACCGCCUGGGGAGUACGGCCGCAAGGUUAAAACUCAAAUGAAUUGACGGGGGCCCGCACAAGCGGUGGAGCAUGUGGUUUAAUUCGAUGCAACGCGAAGAACCUUACCAGGUCUUGACAUCCUCGGAAUUUGGCAGAGAUGCCUUAGUGCCUUCGGGAGCCGAGUGACAGGUGCUGCAUGGCCGUCGUCAGCUCGUGUCGUGAGAUGUUGGGUUAAGUCCCGUAACGAGCGCAACCCUUGUCCUUAGUUGCCAGCACGUAAUGGUGGGAACUCUAGGGAGACUGCCGGUGACAAACCGGAGGAAGGUGGGGACGACGUCAGGUCAUCAUGGCCCUUACGACCUGGGCUACACACGUGCUACAAUGGCUGGUACAGAGGGUUGCGAAGUCGCGAGGCGAAGCUAAUCCCUUAAAGCCAGUCGUAGUCCGGAUCGGAGUCUGCAACUCGACUCCGUGAAGUCGGAAUCGCUAGUAAUCGCGGAUCAGAAUGCCGCGGUGAAUACGUUCCCGGGCCUUGUACACACCGCCCGUCACACCAUGGGAGUGG
Molecule: ribosomal RNA, 759 nt
Filed under: Alcanivorax sp.
Lineage: Bacteria; Pseudomonadati; Pseudomonadota; Gammaproteobacteria; Oceanospirillales; Alcanivoracaceae
Description: bacterial SSU rRNA
Rfam family: Bacterial small subunit ribosomal RNA
Source: RNAcentral